UCAGACAGGCAGGCCUCAUGAAGUUUGCAAUAUCAUGAACUGGCUACAGAGGAAGAAGUGAAGAUGUGAGUCAGCCUGGAGUUCAUCCCACUUCAACUUCAAUUAUCUUUGGGACGUGGACAACAGCCUCGGCAGCUAAAAGAAGAAAGUGCAGGGGUGGAAUAAGAAACUUGAUCAGAGCAGUUAAAAUCCAUGAUCCUUCUGGGGUGAAUGGCAGAGGAAACUGACCAGAGGCAGACAAAGGUCUUGUUGAGUAGUUUAAAUGGCCCAUCUGAA
RNAcentral lists this long non-coding RNA (276 nucleotides) under Homo sapiens (human). RNAcentral describes it as "HSALNT0337587". Lineage: Eukaryota; Metazoa; Chordata; Mammalia; Primates; Hominidae. The record is from RNAcentral.